RNAcentral lists this ribosomal RNA (557 nucleotides) under Streptomyces mutabilis. Its description in RNAcentral is "bacterial SSU rRNA". It matches the Rfam family "Bacterial small subunit ribosomal RNA", at positions 96 to 666 of the family's 1533-position model. Lineage: Bacteria; Bacillati; Actinomycetota; Actinomycetes; Kitasatosporales; Streptomycetaceae. The record is from RNAcentral.
UGGCGAACGGGUGAGUAACACGUGGGCAAUCUGCCCUGCACUCUGGGACAAGCCCUGGAAACGGGGUCUAAUACCGGAUACUGACCCUCGCAGGCAUCUGCGAGGUUCGAAAGCUCCGGCGGUGCAGGAUGAGCCCGCGGCCUAUCAGCUAGUUGGUGAGGUAAUGGCUCACCAAGGCGACGACGGGUAGCCGGCCUGAGAGGGCGACCGGCCACACUGGGACUGAGACACGGCCCAGACUCCUACGGGAGGCAGCAGUGGGGAAUAUUGCACAAUGGGCGAAAGCCUGAUGCAGCGACGCCGCGUGAGGGAUGACGGCCUUCGGGUUGUAAACCUCUUUCAGCAGGGAAGAAGCGAAAGUGACGGUACCUGCAGAAGAAGCGCCGGCUAACUACGUGCCAGCAGCCGCGGUAAUACGUAGGGCGCAAGCGUUGUCCGGAAUUAUUGGGCGUAAAGAGCUCGUAGGCGGCUUGUCACGUCGGUUGUGAAAGCCCGGGGCUUAACCCCGGGUCUGCAGUCGAUACGGGCAGGCUAGAGUUCGGUAGGGGAGAUCGGAA